RNAcentral lists this ribosomal RNA (505 nucleotides) under uncultured bacterium. Its description in RNAcentral is "partial 16S ribosomal RNA". It matches the Rfam family "Bacterial small subunit ribosomal RNA", at positions 28 to 507 of the family's 1533-position model. The record is from RNAcentral.
GACGAACGCUGGCGGCGUGCCUAAUACAUGCAAGUAGAACGCACAGUUUAUACCGUAGCUUGCUACACCAUAGACUGUGAGUUGGGAACGGGUGAGUAACGCGUAGGUAACCUGCCUGGUAGCGGGGGAUAACUAUUGGAAACGAUAGCUAAUACCGCAUAAUAUUAAUUAUUGCAUGAUAAUUAAUUGAAAGGUGCAAUUGCACCACUACCAGAUGGACCUGCGUUGUAUUAGCUAGUAGGUGAGGUAACGGCUCACCUAGGCGACGAUACAUAGCCGACCUGGGGGGGGGAUCGGCCACACUGGGACUGGGACACGGCCCAGACUCCUACGGGAGGCAGCAGUAGGGAAUCUUCGGCAAUGGACGAAAGUCUGACCGAGCAACGCCGCGUGAGUGAAGAAGGUUUUCGGAUCGUAAAGCUCUGUUGUAAGAGAAGAACGGGUGUGAGAGUGGAAAGUUCACACUGUGACGGUAUCUUACCAGAAAGGGACGGCUAACUACGUG